Molecule: long non-coding RNA, 668 nt
Organism: Peromyscus leucopus (white-footed mouse)
Lineage: Eukaryota; Metazoa; Chordata; Mammalia; Rodentia; Cricetidae
Exons: 3
Source: RefSeq, a predicted model, not a curated record
AGAAUAGGGACUAAAAGUAGAAACAAAUGAAAACCCCCACUGACUAAUAGUCCUUGUGUUCCCCAAUAUGAUUUUUUUCCAAGACAGAGUCCCCUUAUGUAGCUCUGCCCAUCCUGUAACUCCCUCUGUAGACCAGGCUGGCCUUGAACUAACAGAGAUCCACUUGCCUCUGCCUCCCAAUAAGAAGGUUGCAGAGAAGUCUAUAGAAUAUUGAGGCUAAGCAGUCAUAAAGGUGGAAGUAGAACUUGGAGAAUGAUGUCAUGAAAACCAAGGAGGCAGAGAGAAUUUUAAGAGAAGGGGGGUAGGUCUGCCAAGAGAUAACUGAAGGAAUCCUGAGACAGCAAUUCAAGUGAAUGCACUGGUUCUUGACAAAGCAGCUGGCUGGACAGCAUUUCACAAUGCCGAAGGUAAGACUGACUCGAGACUUGGUUUGCUCACUAACGAAAUUCAAGAACUCUGUCCACCAUACAGAUCUGACAACCUGAAUCAAAUGCAUUCUGUACCUGAGAAAGAUUAUGGCCAAUUACAGAAGGGAACGGCAAAGAGGAGAAGAGUCUUCAAAUGCCUUUGGAGAACUGGUUCACCAAAUUAGUAAAUUCUGGUAUUUCACACUGCAUACAUGUAUAUUACGCAUUCUGCUCAGAUUAAUAGUAAAUAAUUUAUAAUUA